RNAcentral lists this ribosomal RNA (388 nucleotides) under Escherichia coli. RNAcentral's name for it is "bacterial LSU rRNA". It matches the Rfam family "Bacterial large subunit ribosomal RNA", at positions 1516 to 1882 of the family's 2925-position model. Lineage: Bacteria; Pseudomonadati; Pseudomonadota; Gammaproteobacteria; Enterobacterales; Enterobacteriaceae. The record is from RNAcentral.
GUGUGUGGACUGUCCGGUAGGUAAAUCCGCUGGGCGUGAAGGUUGAGGCAUGAUGGGGAGCCCAUGGUUGUGGGUGAGUGAGUGAUCCUGUACUGUCGAGAAAAGCUUCGUGAGCGAGGUGGCGGGUCCGCCCGUACCCUAAACCGACACUGGUGGAUAGGUAGAGUAUACCGAGGCGAUCGAGUGAAUCGUGGUGAAGGAACUCGGCAAAAUGCCCCCGUAACUUUGGGAUAAGGGGGACCUGAGCUGUCGUGCACCCGUGCGGUGUGGUGGCGGUGAGGGGCGCAGAGUCCAGGGGGAAACGACUGUUUACCAAAAACACAGGUCCGUGCGAAGUCGUAAGACGAUGUAUACGGACUGACUCCUGCCCGGUGCUGGAAGGUUAAGG